GGCGCGAAAACUUGGCAAUGCGAGAAAUCGUGACCAGGGAACUCCAAGUGCAUCGGGUAAGACCGGUGCUUUUCUUGACUCUAAAUAGGUCUUGGAAUAAGGGGUGGGUAAGGACGGUGCCAGCCGCCGCGGUAAUACCGGCGCCUCAAGUGGUAGUCGCUUUUAUUGGGCCUAAAACGUCCGUAGCCGGUCUGAUACAUUCGUGGGUAAAUCAACCAGCUCAACUGGUUGAAUUCUGCGAGGACGGUCAGACUUGGGACCGGGAGAGGUGUGGGGUACGCUCAGGGUAGGGGUAAAAUCCUGUCAUCCUGAGCGGACCACCUGUUGCGAAGGCGCCACACUAGAACGGAUCCGACGGUCAGGGACGAAGCCUAGGGGCACGAACCGGAUUAGAUACCCGGGUAGUCCUAGGUGUAAACGCUGUGGACUUGUAUGUUGGGGGUGCUCCGAGCACUCUCAGUGUCGAAGCGAAGGUGAUAAGUCCACUGCCUGGGAAGUACGGUCGCAAGGCUGAA
This 515-nucleotide ribosomal RNA is filed under the name uncultured archaeon. RNAcentral's name for it is "bacterial SSU rRNA". It matches the Rfam family "Archaeal small subunit ribosomal RNA", at positions 338 to 853 of the family's 1478-position model. The record is from RNAcentral.